UGCGUAGGCGGCGCGGUAAGUCGGGUGUGAAAUCUCGGGGCUUAACUCCGAAACUGCAUUCGAUACUGCCGUGCUUGAGGACUGGAGAGGAGACUGGAAUUUACGGUGUAGCGGUGAAAUGCGUAGAUAUCUGCAGGAACACCCGUGGCGAAAGCGGCGCGCUGGAUCACUACUGACGCUGAGGAACGAAAGCUAGGGGAGCAAACA
Molecule: ribosomal RNA, 207 nt
Filed under: uncultured bacterium
Lineage: Bacteria
Description: partial 16S ribosomal RNA
Rfam family: Bacterial small subunit ribosomal RNA
Source: RNAcentral